AGGUCGGCUUCCCUGGAGCGCCCUCCCCAGCCCUGUCCAGCCUCUCGAUCUUUGUCCUAACCUCAGACGGCGAUGGGCGGGGCAAGACGCUGGUCCUUCAGGCCCGAGUUGAUGGGCACCUCGGGCUCAUCACCGUGAAGUCCCCUGCGGCCAACGGGCGGUGGAUUUUUAGGGUCUCUCCCGCCCACCCCUCAUGCCAGUCCCCACCACUGCGUACUCUGUUGCGGAUCACACCAUCCGAUACAAACUUUAUUGGUAAUGGAAGCCAGCUUCAAUCUGGUUUCCUGUUAGAAACUUGAAAGAGUUUAAUUUACCGAUUUAUUUUUAACAACCCUAGAAACCUAUUAAACCCAAUCACACAGAUUUAGCUUUUGGUUAUAACAUGGCCUGGCACAGCUUUCUGAUAUUGUCGGAGUGUAAACAUAGGUCUUCUUUCUCCAACCAGUGAGAAAGGGAUUUUUUUUUUCUUUUCUUUUCUUUUUUGAGACGCAGCUUUGCUCUUGUUGCCCAGGCUGGAGUGCAAUGGCGCGAUCUCGGCUCACCGCAACCUCCCCCUCCCGGGUUCAAGCGAUUCUCCUACCUCAGCCUCCUGAGUAGCUGGAAUUACAGGCAUGCGCCACCACGCCCAGCUAAUUUUGUAUAUUUUAGUAAAAACGGGGUUUCUCCAUGUUGGUCAAGCUGAUCUCCAACUCCCGACCUCAGGACAAUCUAUGCAGGAAGAAUGAAUGGGUGAUGCUGGCAUCUUGAAAAGUUGAAGCUGAUAGACUGAAGAAUGCGGAUUACAUACCCUGAGGCUGCAGAGGAUUUUUUCUCAGGCAGCCAAGAAGAUGGUGGAUUGAGACUGAGCAUGCCUACCACAAGCAGCUGACCAUCAUUCAAAGCAAGAAGAGGGUCCUGCUAAAGGAAACUGGCAAGAAGCAGCUCCUAUGGUACUUACAAGAACAUCGAUCUAGGCUUCAAGAGGUCCAAAGAGACUAUUGAGGGCACCUACAUUGACAAGGAAUGCCUGUUCACUGGUAACGUCUCCAUCUGAGGGCAGAUCCUGUAUGGCAUGGUGACCAAGAUGGAGAUGCAGAGGACCACUGUCAUCCAGAGAAACUAUCUCCACUACAUCCGCAAGUACAAUUGCUUCGAGAAGUACCACAAGAACAUGUCCAUGCACCUGUUCCCCUGCUUCAGGAUGUCCAGAUCAGCGACAUUGUCACGCUGGAUAAGUGCCGGUCCCUGAACAAGACGGUGUACUUCAAUGUGCUCAAGGUCACCAAGGUCGCAGACAUCAAGAAGCAAUUCCAGAAGUUCUGAGGCUGAAUGUCUGCCUGCUCCCCAAAAUAAAAUAAAGUUAUUUUCUCAUUCAUACACACAAAAAAUGACUAAUAGGUAAGAUAACCACACAAACUUAAUACACAACAAAAACAUAUUAAAACAUAUUAAUGCAAUUAGAGAUUUAAAAAAAAAACUAGCAAGCUGUGUCAAAG
Molecule: long non-coding RNA, 1475 nt
Filed under: Pan troglodytes (chimpanzee)
Lineage: Eukaryota; Metazoa; Chordata; Mammalia; Primates; Hominidae
Description: long non-coding RNA NONPTRT003848
Source: RNAcentral